ACCGGUGAGACCAGUCCUGACUCGGUCCUGACUCCCCUUGGAUCCACAGGUGAGACCGGUCCUGACUCGGUCCCGACUUCCCUCAGAUCCCGGUCCUGACUCCGGUGUAAGACGCUGUGACGGAGUCCUGAAACCACAUGCCCACCGACCCCAGGUCCGCCGGGGCAGAAUGAGCAGCUCCGUCUCUCCGGACGUGUCCUCGACACAGGACGGGGGACAGGGUCUCUGAGUCGGCCUGGAGGGAGCCCAGCAGCUUGUUGUGGUGACAGAAAGUCUCUCUCCCGGGAGACGAGGACUCUGCGAUGAGUCAGGCUGAGGACCAGGAUGAGGGGGUCCCUCUGUGGGGGGGACAGGACGACCAGACCAGAGCAAGAAGGUGCUGCAGCAGAGACCAGACCCUCCUGAACCCAGCUGCGUCUCCAUGAAGACUACCCGGUCCAUGACUCCGCCAC
Molecule: long non-coding RNA, 452 nt
Organism: Etheostoma spectabile (orangethroat darter)
Lineage: Eukaryota; Metazoa; Chordata; Actinopteri; Perciformes; Percidae
Exons: 3
Source: RefSeq, a predicted model, not a curated record